This 673-nucleotide small RNA is filed under the name Pan troglodytes (chimpanzee). RNAcentral describes it as "processed transcript". Lineage: Eukaryota; Metazoa; Chordata; Mammalia; Primates; Hominidae. The record is from RNAcentral.
GGCCUGGUCGGCGGCCCGCAAGGCGCCCUCCCGCGCUAGGCCGGGCGGCGUGGCGCGCGGCGCCGAGCAGGCCCCGAGGAGGCCGCAGUUAGGCCCGGGGAGGAGCCCGGCUGCCCCGAGCGGCGGCGGAGGCGCGCUCCGUAAGCGGGCGGGGGUUGGGGGAGGGUCGCCCGGUUGUGCCGGAGGCGGUCGAGGGGCCCCGGGUCGGCUCCGCGGCCGACCUGGGGCACCGCGCCGGGGUGAGGCCUGGGGAGGAGGCGAAGGCUGCAGGCGUGAGUGGAUGAUGCUGGCAAAAUAGAACACGACGGUUCUUCUGGAAUGACCAUGGACACAGAGUCGGAAAUUGAUCCUUGUAAAGUGGAUGGCACUUGCCCUGAGGUCAUCAAGGUGUACAUUUUUAAAGCUGACCCUGGAGAAGAUGACUUAGGUGGAACUGUAGACAUUGUGGAGAGUGAGCCUGAGAAUGAUCAUGGAGUUGAACUGCUUGAUCAGAACAGCAGUAUUCGUGUUCCCAGGGAAAAGAUGGUUUAUAUGACUGUCAAUGACUCUCAGCCAGAAGAUGAAGAUUUAAGUAAUAAUUCUGAUGGAAUUGAAAACCGGAAUGGCACUGCAAGUGCCCUCUUGCACAUAGAUGAGUCUGCUGGCCUCGGCAGACUGGCUAAACAAAAACCAA